GAUGAACGCUGGCGGCGUGCCUAAUACAUGCAAGUCGAGCGAACGGACGAGAAGCUUGCUUCUCUGAUGUUAGCGGCGGACGGGUGAGUAACACGUGGAUAACCUACCUAUAAGACUGGGAUAACUUCGGGAAACCGGAGCUAAUACCGGAUAAUAUUUUGAACCGCAUGGUUCAAAAGUGAAAGACGGUCUUGCUGUCACUUAUAGAUGGAUCCGCGCUGCAUUAGCUAGUUGGUAAGGUAACGGCUUACCAAGGCAACGAUGCAUAGCCGACCUGAGAGGGUGAUCGGCCACACUGGAACUGAGACACGGUCCAGACUCCUACGGGAGGCAGCCGUAGGGAAUCUUCCGCAAUGGGCGAAAGCCUGACGGAGCAACGCCGCGUGAGUGAUGAAGGUCUUCGGAUCGUAAAACUCUGUUAUUAGGGAAGAACAUAUGUGUAAGUAACUGUGCACAUCUUGACGGUACCUAAUCAGAAAGCCACGGCUAACUACGUGCCAGCAGCCGCGGUAAUACGUANGUGGGCAGCGUUAUCCGGAAUUUAUGGGCGUAAGCGCGCGUAGGCGGUUUUUUAAGUCUGAUGUGAAAGCCCACGGCUCAACCGUGGAGGGUCAUUGGAAACUGGAAAACUUGAGUGCAGAAGAGGAAAGUGGAAUUCCAUGUGUAGCGGUGAAAUGCGCAGAGAUAUGGAGGAACACCAGUGGCGAAGGCGACUUUCUGGUCUGUAACUGACGCUGAUGUGCGAAAGCGUGGGGAUCAAACAGGAUUAGAUACCCUGGUAGUCCACGCCGUAAACGAUGAGUGCUAAGUGUUAGGGGGUUUCCGCCCCUUAGUGCUGCAGCUAACGCAUUAAGCACUCCGCCUGGGGAGUACGACCGCAAGGUUGAAACUCAAAGGAAUUGACGGGGACCCGCACAAGCGGUGGAGCAUGUGGUUUAAUUCGAAGCAACGCGAAGAACCUUACCAAAUCUUGACAUCCUUUGACAACUCUAGAGAUAGAGCCUUCCCCUUCGGGGGACAAAGUGACAGGUGGUGCAUGGUUGUCGUCAGCUCGUGUCGUGAGAUGUUGGGUUAAGUCCCGCAACGAGCGCAACCCUUAAGCUUAGUUGCCAUCAUUAAGUUGGGCACUCUAAGUUGACUGCCGGUGACAAACCGGAGGAAGGUGGGGAUGACGUCAAAUCAUCAUGCCCCUUAUGAUUUGGGCUACACACGUGCUACAAUGGACAAUACAAAGGGCAGCGAAACCGCGAGGUCAAGCAAAUCCCAUAAAGUUGUUCUCAGUUCGGAUUGUAGUCUGCAACUCGACUACAUGAAGCUGGAAUCGCUAGUAAUCGUAGAUCAGCAUGCUACGGUGAAUACGUUCCCGGGUCU
This 1371-nucleotide ribosomal RNA is filed under the name uncultured bacterium. Its description in RNAcentral is "bacterial SSU rRNA". It matches the Rfam family "Bacterial small subunit ribosomal RNA", at positions 28 to 1381 of the family's 1533-position model. The record is from RNAcentral.